UGUGUAGGUCACAACUCGCUAUCAUAGUAACACACAACUAACGCAGAAUCAAACAAAUAUAACUUUAAGUACUAGGUUUGCUCUUGACUUAUAAAUCUACACGAUUAUGGCUAACUUGACAAACUAACUAAACAACAAACAUGGGCAACACAAACACACAACAAAAAGCAAAGAAAAGAUUAAAACUAGGGAAAACUAAUUGACAUCUAAAACUAAAGAAAUAGUCUAUCAAAUCAACUAAACCAAAGCUAUAAAUCGAAAACACAAGGCACUAGAUGAAGCCAAAAGACCCACCACCGGCCACCAGCAAGAUUAAGCAAUAACUCCUAGCAACCACACAGGCAACAACGAACAAAUCAAAAACAAAAAUAAUCUUCAAAAAACCCCAAAUAAAGUUAGGAUUUAUGCAACCAUGGACUAGAUCAGAGAGUUUGAGGACAAGCUUAGUUGUGAAGGGGUUUAGGUGGAGGGUGUCUGAAACUUG
Molecule: long non-coding RNA, 484 nt
Filed under: Trifolium pratense (red clover)
Lineage: Eukaryota; Viridiplantae; Streptophyta; Magnoliopsida; Fabales; Fabaceae
Description: long non-coding RNA (TPRA_LNC002682)
Source: RNAcentral